GACGAACGCUGGCGGCGUGCUUAACACAUGCAAGUCGAACGAUGAAGCCCAGCUUGCUGGGUGGAUUAGUGGCGAACGGGUGAGUAACACGUGAGUAACCUGCCCCUGACUCUGGGAUAAGCGUUGGAAACGACGUCUAAUACUGGAUAUGACUACUGGUCGCAUGGCCUGGUGGUGGAAAGAUUUUUUGGUUGGGGAUGGACUCGCGGCCUAUCAGCUUGUUGGUGAGGUAAUGGCUCACCAAGGCGACGACGGGUAGCCGGCCUGAGAGGGUGACCGGCCACACUGGGACUGAGACACGGCCCAGACUCCUACGGGAGGCAGCAGUGGGGAAUAUUGCACAAUGGGCGAAAGCCUGAUGCAGCAACGCCGCGUGAGGGAUGACGGCCUUCGGGUUGUAAACCUCUUUUAGUAGGGAAGAAGCGAAAGUGACGGUACCUGCAGAAAAAGCACCGGCUAACUACGUGCCAGCCGCCGCCGUAA
RNAcentral lists this ribosomal RNA (483 nucleotides) under uncultured bacterium. RNAcentral's name for it is "partial 16S ribosomal RNA". It matches the Rfam family "Bacterial small subunit ribosomal RNA", at positions 28 to 523 of the family's 1533-position model. The record is from RNAcentral.